UCUCUGUUCAGUAAUUCUCACACUUGGCUCCUCCUUUUUAUUUCUUCUUUUUCCUUUUCUUUCUUCUUUACUUUUCACUUCGUUUUUGUUCUUGUUUGCCCGAGAGACACAGAGAGAGUCAAGAGGGAGAGAGAAAUCAGAGAGAGAGAGAGAAAGAGGCUAAGAAGAGUGGAUCCGUGAGGAGAGACCCGAGAACCCGUGACCUGAUCAUCGGUGGCCGAUCCUCCAUGAGCCGAUUUUUGGUGGUUCAACAACGGGUUGAGGCAGUGGCGAAGUCCGGUGGUCGGAGGAUGCAAAAUCCGACGAGGCAGAGCCGACUCCUAAUGGCUUGAAGGCUGGUUUUCCGGCGAGUUUUUCAGCGAAAUUAUAGACGAUUUCCGGUGGAUUUUCUAGGAAAAAUCCUCUAGAUGAUGAACUGAGACUGCACAAAAGGACUAUGAGUAUAAAAUACUUAUUGUGGAUGAUUGCGCAGGUUUUGAAGAUUAUGAAUUGGAUUAACUGCUAGCUUAAGAGUUAUAAAGCUAAUGUAGUUCGGUUCCAUUACUUUGUAAUUAUUAAUGUUUGUGCUAUUUUAUAUGUAAUAUGUUUAGGGAUUUACUUGUAUGUAGUAAGUUUCCAUGUAUGCUUUCGUGUCAUACAUGACACGUGUUUCAUUGUAAUCAUUGUAAAUGACUUUUAAUGAAUGUCUAUAGGAGUUUCAGUCAA
This is a long non-coding RNA of Alnus glutinosa, 705 nucleotides long. RefSeq lists it as uncharacterized. The transcript is spliced from 3 exons. NCBI's taxonomy places the organism in Eukaryota, Viridiplantae, Streptophyta, Magnoliopsida, Fagales, Betulaceae. The record is from RefSeq and is a predicted model, not a curated record.